UGGGGAAUAUUGCACAAUGGGUGCAAGCCUGAUGCAGCCAUGCCGCGUGUAUGAAGAAGGCCUUCGGGUUGUAAAGUACUUUCAGUCGGGAGGAAGGUGGUAAGGUUAAUAACCUUAUCAAUUGACGUUACCGACAGAAGAAGCACCGGCUAACUCCGUGCCAGCAGCCGCGGUAAUACGGAGGGUGCAAGCGUUAAUCGGAAUUACUGGGCGUAAAGCGCACGCAGGCGGUUGAUUGAGUCAGAUGUGAAAUCCCCGGGCUUAACCCGGGAGUUGCAUCUGAUACUGGUCAGCUAGAGGCUUGUAGAGGGGGGUAGAAGUCCAUGUGUAGCGGUGAAAUGCGUAGAGAUGUGGAGGAAUACCGGUGGCGAAGGCGGCCCCCUGGACAAAGACUGACGAUCAGGUGCGAAAGCGUGGGGAGCAAACAGG
This 429-nucleotide ribosomal RNA is filed under the name Chloroflexota bacterium. RNAcentral's name for it is "Chloroflexi bacterium partial 16S ribosomal RNA". It matches the Rfam family "Bacterial small subunit ribosomal RNA", at positions 355 to 776 of the family's 1533-position model. The record is from RNAcentral. Lineage: Bacteria; Bacillati; Chloroflexota.